Molecule: ribosomal RNA, 164 nt
Filed under: Henckelia pumila
Lineage: Eukaryota; Viridiplantae; Streptophyta; Magnoliopsida; Lamiales; Gesneriaceae
Also listed under: 5 other names
Description: 5.8S ribosomal RNA
Rfam family: 5.8S ribosomal RNA
About the family: 5.8S ribosomal RNA (5.8S rRNA) is a component of the large subunit of the eukaryotic ribosome. It is transcribed by RNA polymerase I as part of the 45S precursor that also contains 18S and 28S rRNA. Functionally, it is thought that 5.8S rRNA may be involved in ribosome translocation.
Source: RNAcentral
ACAACGACUCUCGGCAACGGAUAUCUCGGCUCUCGCAUCGAUGAAGAACGUAGCGAAAUGCGAUACUUGGUGUGAAUUGCAGAAUCCCGUGAACCAUCGAGUCUUUGAACGCAAGUUGCGCCCGAAGCCAUCAGGUUGAGGGCACGUCUGCCUGGGCGUCACGC